RNAcentral lists this unclassified non-coding RNA (336 nucleotides) under soil metagenome. RNAcentral describes it as "partial contains 5.8S ribosomal RNA, internal transcribed spacer 2, and large subunit ribosomal RNA". The stretch from base 1 to 120 matches the Rfam family "5.8S ribosomal RNA", at positions 35 to 154 of the family's 154-position model. The record is from RNAcentral.
GAUGAAGAACGCAGUGAAAUGCGAUAAGUAAUGUGAAUUGCAGAAUUCAGUGAAUCAUCGAAUCUUUGAACGCACAUUGCGCCCGCCAGUAUUCUGGCGGGCAUGCCUGUUCGAGCGUCAUUUCAACCAUCAAGCCCCCGGCUUGUGUUGGGGACCUGCGGCUGCCGCAGGCCCUGAAAAGCAGUGGCGGGCUCGCUGUCACACCGAGCGUAGUAGAUUUCAUCUCGCUCAGGGCGUGCUGCGGGUUCCGGCCGUUAAACCACCUUCAUAACCCAAGGUUGACCUCGGAUCAGGUAGGAAGACCCGCUGAACUUAAGCAUAUCAAUAAGCGGAGGA